CUCUGUUUCGUCUCGAUUCAGGGCAAAGUGAG
RNAcentral lists this non-coding RNA (32 nucleotides) under Rubeoparvulum massiliense. The record is from RNAcentral. Lineage: Bacteria; Bacillati; Bacillota; Bacilli; Caryophanales; Bacillaceae.